UACAGAGGCCACAAGCGUUAGUCGGAAUCACUGGGCUUAAAGGGUGCGUAGGCGGAUUGGUAAGUGUUCUGUGAAAGCCCCCGGCUCAACCGGGGAACUGCAGGGCAUACUGCCAGUCUUGAGGUAGGUAGGGGUCGCGAGAACAGUAGGUGGAGCGGUGAAAUGCGUAGAUAUCUACUGGAAUGCCGAUGGUGAAGACGCGCGACUGGGCCUAUCCUGACGCUGAAGCACGAAAGCGUGGGGAGCAAACAGG
Molecule: ribosomal RNA, 253 nt
Filed under: uncultured bacterium
Lineage: Bacteria
Description: partial 16S ribosomal RNA
Rfam family: Bacterial small subunit ribosomal RNA
Source: RNAcentral